CAGUCGCCACGGUAAUACAGAGGGUGCGAGCGUUAAUCGGAUUUACUGGGCGUAAAGCGUGCGUAGGCGGCUUUUUAAGUCGGAUGUGGAAUCCCUGAGCUUAACUUAGGAAUUGCAUUCGAUACUGGGAAGCUAGAGUAUGGGAGAGGAUGGUAGAAUUCCAGGUGUAGCGGUGAAAUGCGUAGAGAUCUGGAGGAAUACCGAUGGCGAAGGCAGCCAUCUGGCCUAAUACUGACGCUGAGGUACGAAAGCAUGGGGAGCAAACAGGAUUAGAUACCCCAGUAGUCCCUGUCUCUUAUAC
Molecule: ribosomal RNA, 301 nt
Filed under: uncultured bacterium
Lineage: Bacteria
Description: partial 16S ribosomal RNA
Rfam family: Bacterial small subunit ribosomal RNA
Source: RNAcentral